CCUACGGGAGGCAGCAGUGAGGAAUAUUGGUCAAUGGGCGCAAGCCUGAACCAGCCAAGUCGCGUGAGGGAUGACGGUCCUAUGGAUUGUAAACCUCUUUUGUCGGGGAGCAAGGCCCGCCACGUGUGGCGGGAAGGAGAGUACCCGAAGAAAAAGCAUCGGCUAACUCCGUGCCAGCAGCCGCGGUAAUACGGAGGAUGCGAGCGUUAUCCGGAUUUAUUGGGUUUAAAGGGUGCGCAGGCGGAAUGUCAAGUCAGCGGUAAAAUUUCGGGGCUCAACCCCGUCGUGCCGUUGAAACUGGCGUUCUUGAGUGAGCGAGAAGUAUGCGGAAUGCGUGGUGUAGCGGUGAAAUGCAUAGAUAUCACGCAGAACUCCGAUUGCGAAGGCAGCAUACCGGCGCUCAACUGACGCUCAUGCACGAAAGCGUGGGUAUCGAACAGGAUUAGAUACCCCAGUAGUC
Molecule: ribosomal RNA, 460 nt
Filed under: uncultured bacterium
Lineage: Bacteria
Description: partial 16S ribosomal RNA
Rfam family: Bacterial small subunit ribosomal RNA
Source: RNAcentral